RNAcentral lists this ribosomal RNA (377 nucleotides) under uncultured eukaryote. RNAcentral's name for it is "partial 18S ribosomal RNA". It matches the Rfam family "Eukaryotic small subunit ribosomal RNA", at positions 592 to 976 of the family's 1831-position model. The record is from RNAcentral.
CAAUAGCGUAUAUUUAAGUUGCUGCAGUUAAAAAGCUCGUAGUUGGAUUUCGGGUGGGAAGGGCCGGUCCGCCGUUUCGGUGUGCACUUGCUACGCCCACCUUGCUGCCGGGGACGUGCUCUUGAGUUCACGCUCGGGACACGGAGUCGGCGAGGUUACUUUGAGUAAAUUAGAGUGUUCAAAGCAGGCCUACGCUCUGAAUACAUUAGCAUGGAAUAACACGAUAGGACUCUGGCCUAUCUUGUUGGUCUGUAGGACCGGAGUAAUGAUUAAGAGGGACAGUCGGGGGCAUUCGUAUUUCAUUGUCAGAGGUGAAAUUCUUGGAUUUAUGAAAGACGAACUACUGCGAAAGCAUUUGCCAAGGAUGUUUUCAUUAA